CCUGACGAACGGGCUUGAAUCCUCCGCGCAUCGGCCUCAUAAUGGCGGCAUGGUUGUAAUUCCGGCCAUCUGGAGUCAUUCUGGACGCGGGUUCGAAUCCCGCCACCUCCACCCAAGCGACGCCGUCGCGCGGACGUUUGGGUGGGGGUGUACCGGUUUCGACAGGGUGUGCAAAGGGUGAGCAGGCAACCCGUCAGGCGAUCGACGUUAAUGAAGCAAACCUAUAAACGCCAACGAUGAGCGUUUCGCACUGGCCGCCUAAGGCCGAUGCCGGGGCCGCUUGAGCCUUGUUACCCAAGAAAAGCCGCCGGGGGCGAAAGCCCCCGGCGUCA
Molecule: transfer-messenger RNA, 332 nt
Filed under: Accumulibacter sp.
Lineage: Bacteria; Pseudomonadati; Pseudomonadota; Betaproteobacteria
Rfam family: Betaproteobacteria transfer-messenger RNA
About the family: Bacterial tmRNA, also known as 10Sa RNA or SsrA, is named for its dual tRNA and mRNA-like properties.
Source: RNAcentral